GAUACAUAUUAAUAAAGCAUAAACCCAACCAAAGUGUACAGUCAAUGUUAUUUGGUAUAAUCACAGAGUUGAUCAUCUGUCAUUUCAAUCAUUAUUAGAGCAAGAGUUCUAGAAUCGGAGGGGAGAUGGGAGAGGCCUGUGGAAGGAUCUGAAGAGUAGCUUCCAUUCCUUGCGGAGAGAAUGGACCUCUCAUCCCCUCUCAUUCCUUCUGUUUCCAACAUGCAAAGAGUGAGCUUCUGUGGUGUUGCUGAAGGACCCUGUAAAUAGACACGUGUCUGCCUGGAUUGUGCUUUUUCCUUAGUUUAGAAUGACCUCUGCUAAUGUUUUGGGACAGGUCCCUCUCUCCCCUGGCACCCAAAAGCCCCUGCCUCUAAGCUGUCCAUGGGAUGAAUGAGGGGGGUCCAGUUUCCCGGCACUGAUGCCCUCUGGAAACCUGGCCGAGGGGAAGGUGCCAGGCGCUGACCUGCUUCACUGGGUUUCAGCUUCUGUUGCUAUCAGUGUUUCAUCUGUCACGUGAGAGUAUCUCCAACCUUCACAUCCUUCUCCUCUGCAGGUUAAUAUGGCUGCAAGGGGGCCCCCUCCUUUCCCAGGACCACCCUCCAUGUACUACCCCAUGGGACGUCCCCCACCACCAGUGCUGAGAUGCCAGCCACCUCCUCCAUCCUGGGGGCCUCUCGGAGGACCUCCCCCACCAGCAUACCCUCCACCAUUCGGACAAUUAUAUUGACCCUUGAAGAGGACCCUCAGCAGUGGUCAGCAGGCUGAGGCCGUUAGCAAGUUAGAAAAGGUGUCAGAGCUGCCUUAAGUUCUGAAAGCUUUCCCUGCCCCAUCCUGCUUUCGCCCUCCUUCAUCUCCUAGGUGUUUUCCCAAUAAACCUCUUGCUAUUAUUCUACCCCCUGUCCAGUGUCUGCUUCCUGGACGACCAACAACCACCCCCCAGGCACUGCACCCCCAAGGGGGGUUAACAUUUCCUUACUAGGAAAAAAGCCAACAGCAAGGUGAUGACACAGAAGCAAGGUUCCCCUCUGGGGCAUUACUGGCUGGGAGGGCCCCAGGGAAGCUUCCUGAGUGGAGGAAACAUCCA
RNAcentral lists this long non-coding RNA (1084 nucleotides) under Dasypus novemcinctus (nine-banded armadillo). RNAcentral's name for it is "lncRNA (ENSDNOG00000050639.1)". Lineage: Eukaryota; Metazoa; Chordata; Mammalia; Cingulata; Dasypodidae. The record is from RNAcentral.